Non-coding RNA from Podarcis muralis (Common wall lizard), 351 nucleotides. The record is from RefSeq and is a predicted model, not a curated record. NCBI's taxonomy places the organism in Eukaryota, Metazoa, Chordata, Lepidosauria, Squamata, Lacertidae.
CACCCAUCACUGAUGCAUGUGGCUUGGCUCCCUGGAUUGCUUUGUCCACAGAUGUUGCUAGCUUGGCAGGUCCUCAGCUGUGGUCCCCCGAUGAUAUGUUUUGUUGUGAAUUACUGGUUGGUAACUUCCUCUGUUUUUAUUUUCCUUUCUGUCUCACAGGUUCUCAGAAAGGAAGGCCACAGCAGCUGCCAUGGUGCCAUAAGAAACAAAUAUCACUGGAAAUCAUGGGCCGUGGUUUGGAAGUGCCAGUCAGGGCUCCGGCCAAGCAGCAGCCCAGCGGUGCCACGUCCAAAACCAACAUCUGCAGGCGAGAGGCCGGCCAGAACAAAGGGGGAAAGGCUCCCAGCUCAG